AAAGGCUUAGGUUAAUUCAAACCAAGGGCCUUCAAAGCCCUUAAUACAGGUGCAAGUCCUUUAGCCUUUG
This 70-nucleotide transfer RNA is filed under the name Danionella mirifica. Its description in RNAcentral is "tRNA-Trp". It matches the Rfam family "tRNA". From Rfam's summary of the family: Transfer RNA (tRNA) molecules are approximately 80 nucleotides in length. Their secondary structure includes four short double-helical elements and three loops (D, anti-codon, and T loops). The record is from RNAcentral. Lineage: Eukaryota; Metazoa; Chordata; Actinopteri; Cypriniformes; Danionidae.